This 631-nucleotide long non-coding RNA is filed under the name Brachypodium distachyon (stiff brome). Its description in RNAcentral is "long non-coding RNA (BDIS_LNC003809)". Lineage: Eukaryota; Viridiplantae; Streptophyta; Magnoliopsida; Poales; Poaceae. The record is from RNAcentral.
UGUAAAGCCUAGAGAAGAAAACAAAUUAAAAUCAACCAACUCUUACAGAACCAUCUUUAAAAGAAAAGAAAAUUACACGCAAGUUCUUGUAGGUAAACGUUGUUGUCUUCCUCCUGCACACGCCGGUGGCCCGCCACGAGCGAAGCUCGAUGCUGCCUCUGAACCUCCGAACCACAUCGGAGUCAGGAAACCGUUGUUGACGUAGCAGUCGGGAAGUCGCCGGCCGGAGCGAGAAGACGCCGGCGAAAUGAUCUGAGAAACAGACCACCAUCCUGAAGAAGAAAACGACGAAGAGGGUUGGAUGACCAUCUCAGAUCCGGCCAGAUGGAUGCGAGAAGACCUGGCCACACUAACUCCACGAUGAGGUCGAAGCUGGCCAAGUCUCAUCAAUUGGAAAAAGAACAAAAAAAUGAUACGCAUAGACGAACUGCAAAGCACAAACACAGAACAAAAUCCACCACUCCAGAAGAGCAGCGAGCAACCGUCCCGCACUCCUCAACGUCACUGGCAUAAUCGCCGUCGACGAGGUGGACGAGGAGUCGGAAAAACCUUAUUCUUGACCCACACAGUGCCGCCAUCACCACCAUAGCGCCGCUGCAGGUUGACCAAAUCCUAAUUUUUGAAACACCAA